GGCGGCAGUAGCGCGGUGGUCCCACCUGACCCCAUGCCGAACUCAGAAGUGAAACGCCGUAGCGCCGAUGGUAGUGUGGGGUCUCCCCAUGCGAGAGUAGGGAACUGCCAGGC
RNAcentral lists this ribosomal RNA (113 nucleotides) under Escherichia coli. The record is from RNAcentral. Lineage: Bacteria; Pseudomonadati; Pseudomonadota; Gammaproteobacteria; Enterobacterales; Enterobacteriaceae. RNAcentral also lists the same sequence under 253 other names.